This 70-nucleotide transfer RNA is filed under the name Verrucomicrobiota bacterium. RNAcentral describes it as "Verrucomicrobia bacterium tRNA-Gly". It matches the Rfam family "tRNA". Rfam says of the family: Transfer RNA (tRNA) molecules are approximately 80 nucleotides in length. Their secondary structure includes four short double-helical elements and three loops (D, anti-codon, and T loops). Further hydrogen bonds mediate the characteristic L-shaped molecular structure. tRNAs have two regions of fundamental functional importance: the anti-codon, which is responsible for specific mRNA codon recognition, and the 3' end, to which the tRNAs corresponding amino acid is attached (by aminoacyl-tRNA synthetases). tRNAs cope with the degeneracy of the genetic code in two manners: having more than one tRNA (with a specific anti-codon) for a particular amino acid; and 'wobble' base-pairing, i.e. permitting non-standard base-pairing at the 3rd anti-codon position. Lineage: Bacteria; Pseudomonadati; Verrucomicrobiota. The record is from RNAcentral. RNAcentral also lists the same sequence under 1 other name.
GCGGGUGUAGUUCAAUGGUAGAACGCCAGCUUCCCAAGCUGGACACGAGGGUUCGAUUCCCUUCACCCGC